UACGGGGGGGGGUAAGCGUUGUUCGGAAUUACUGGGCGUAAAGGGCUCGUAGGCGGUUUGUCGCGUCGGGAGUGAAAAUCCAGGGCUUAACUCUGGACUGGCUUCCGAUACGGGCAGACUAGAGGUAUGCAGGGGAGAACGGAAUUCCUGGUGUAGCGGUGAAAUGCGCAGAUAUCAGGAGGAACACCAGUGGCGAAGGCGGCUCACUGGCCCGGUACUGACGCUGAGGUGCGAAAGCGUGGGGAGCAAACAGG
Molecule: ribosomal RNA, 254 nt
Filed under: uncultured bacterium
Lineage: Bacteria
Description: partial 16S ribosomal RNA
Rfam family: Bacterial small subunit ribosomal RNA
Source: RNAcentral